Non-coding RNA from Cordylochernes scorpioides, 82 nucleotides. The record is from the annotation of a GenBank genome assembly. NCBI's taxonomy places the organism in Eukaryota, Metazoa, Arthropoda, Arachnida, Pseudoscorpiones, Chernetidae.
GUAGAAUGUAGGUGAAAAAAAGGCUGGUUAAACCGUUUGGUUUUCGACCACUACGACCCGGGUUCGAUUCCCGCAUUGGACA